GACGAACGCUGGCGGCGUGCUUCAUACAUGCAAGUCGAACGAGAAGUCACCUUCGGGUGAUGGAAAGUGGCGGACGGGUGAGUAAUGUGUAGAGAAUCUGCCCUUGAGUGGGGGACAACAGUUGAAACGACUGCUAAUACCCCAUAUGAGCUUAGCUGAAAUGCUAAUCUUGAAAACUCCGGUGCUCAAAGGAUGAGUCUGCAUCUGAUUAGCUAGUUGGCGGUGUAAUGGACCACCAAGGCUACGAUCAGUAGCUGGUUUGAGAGGAUGAUCAGCCACAAUGGGACUGAGACACGGCCCAUACUCCUACGGGAGGCAGCAGUUAGGGAAUUUUUCGCGCAAUGGGGGAAACCCUGACGCAGCAACGCCGCGUG
This 374-nucleotide ribosomal RNA is filed under the name uncultured bacterium. RNAcentral's name for it is "bacterial SSU rRNA". It matches the Rfam family "Bacterial small subunit ribosomal RNA", at positions 28 to 403 of the family's 1533-position model. The record is from RNAcentral.